GACGAACGCUGGCUGCGUGCUUAACACAUGCAAGUCGAACGGAAAGGCCCUGCUUUUGUGGGGUGCUCGAGUGGCGAACGGGUGAGUAACACGUGAGUAACCUGCCCUUGACUUUGGGAUAACUUCAGGAAACUGGGGCUAAUACCGGAUAGGAGCUCCUGCUGCAUGGUGGGGGUUGGAGAGUUUCGGCGGUUGGGGAUGGACUCGCGGCUUAUCAGCUUGUUGGUGGGGUAGUGGCUUACCAAGGCUUUGACGGGUAGCCGGCCUGAGAGGGUGACCGGCCACAUUGGGACUGAGAUACGGCCCAGACUCCUACGGGAGGCAGCAGUGGGGAAUAUUGCACAAUGGGCGGAAGCCUGAUGCAGCAACGCCGCGUGCGGGAUGACGGCCUUCGGGUUGUAAACCGCUUUCGCCUGUGACGAAGCGUGAGUGACGGUAAUGGGUAAAGAAGCACCGGCUAACUACGUGCCAGCAGCCGCGGUGAUACGUAGGGGGCGAGCGUUGUCCGGAUUUAUUGGGCGUAAAGGGCUCGUAGGUGGUUGAUCGCGUCGGAAGUGUAAUCUUGGGGCUUAACCCUGAGCGUGCUUUCGAUACGGGUUGACUUGAGGAAGGUAGGGGAGAAUGGAAUUCCUGGUGGAGCGGUGGAAUGCGCAGAUAUCAGGAGGAACACCAGUGGCGAAGGCGGUUCUCUGGGCCUUUCCUGACGCUGAGGAGCGAAAGCGUGGGGAGCGAACAGGCUUAGAUACCCUGGUAGUCCACGCUGUAAACGGUGGGUACUAGGUGUGGGGUCCAUUCCACGGGUUCCGUGCCGUAGCUAACGCUUUAAGUACCCCGCCUGGGGAGUACGGCCGCAAGGCUAAAACUCAAAGGAAUUGACGGGGCCCCGCACAAGCGGCGGAGCAUGCGGAUUAAUUCGAUGCAACGCGUAGAACCUUACCUGGGUUUGACAUGGAUCGGGAGUGCUCAGAGAUGGGUGUGCCUCUUUUGGGGUCGGUUCACAGGUGGUGCAUGCCUGUCGUCAGCUCGUGUCGUGAGAUGUUGGGUUAAGUCCCGCAACGAGCGCAACCCUUGUUCACUGUUGCCAGCACGUUAUGGUGGGGACUCAGUGGAGACCGCCGGGGUCAACUCGGAGGAAGGUGGGGAUGACGUCAAGUCAUCAUGCCCCUUAUGUCCAGGGCUUCACGCAUGCUACAAUGGCUGGUACAGAGAGUGGCGAGCCUGUGAGGGUGAGCGAAUCUCGGAAAGCCGGUCUCAGUUCGGAUUGGGGUCUGCAACUCGACCUCAUGAAGUCGGAGUCGCUAGUAAUCGCAGAUCAGCAACGCUGCGGUAAAUACGUUCCCGGG
Molecule: ribosomal RNA, 1343 nt
Filed under: uncultured bacterium
Lineage: Bacteria
Description: 16S ribosomal RNA
Rfam family: Bacterial small subunit ribosomal RNA
Source: RNAcentral